AGAGAAGAUAUACAUUCAAAACCACUGGGAAUACUAUCCAGUAAAACUAUAGAUUAAGAAAAGAUAUAGAUUCAAAACCACUGGGAAUACCAUCCAGUAAAACUAUAGAUUGAAAACCAUGGGAAUUCUAUCCCGCACUAGAUAUAAAAUCCGUGAAUAAACUAUAUUUGUAACACCGUAAAUUUCAAAAUAAUUUUUCACAAAUUAUAAAAAUAUUUCUCAUUUAAUUUUCAUAAAACAUUAAGUUUAAAUCUCAAUUCACAUCAUACAAAAUCCCAAGAUCAAAUGUAUAUCAAAAAUCCCAUGCGUGUGUACAAAUCAAGUCGGCGCCUUCCCACGGUCAUCGCUAGUACCUGAAACAACAACACUAACACUGUAAGCACAAAGCUUAGUGAGUUCCCCAAAAUACCACAUAAACAUAUAUUAGCCACUCGAGGCUAUAACUCUAUGGGUCCGUGCACCCAAACUCUGUGAACCCUCAAGUUCUAGCUCUGGGAACCUUCCGGUUCCAACUCUAUUAACAUGCAUGGGUCCGUGCACCCAAACUCUGUGAACCCUCAAGUUCUAGCUCUGGGAACCUUCCGGUUCCAACUCUAUUAACAUGCAUAUCAUAAAUCACAUAGAAAUAAUGCAGUACAACACAUCACAUACAUAUAGCAUACAAAUACUCUGAUCACAUACCUCUGGUUACCUACUCAAGGUAAAGUAUAGUGAGAAGAAUCACCUCGCGUAUCUCGAUAACU
This 743-nucleotide long non-coding RNA is filed under the name Lactuca sativa (garden lettuce). RNAcentral describes it as "long non-coding RNA (LSAT_LNC010051)". Lineage: Eukaryota; Viridiplantae; Streptophyta; Magnoliopsida; Asterales; Asteraceae. The record is from RNAcentral.